ACGGUCCAGACUCCUACGGGAGGCAGCAGUGGGGAAUAUUGCACAAUGGGCGCAAGCCUGAUGCAGCCAUGCCGCGUGUGUGAAGAAGGCCUUCGGGUUGUAAAGCACUUUCAGUCGUGAGGAAGGUGGUAGUGUUAAUAGCACUAUCAUUUGACGUUAGCGACAGAAGAAGCACCGGCUAACUCCGUGCCAGCAGCCGCGGUAAUACGGAGGGUGCGAGCGUUAAUCGGAAUUACUGGGCGUAAAGCGCAUGCAGGUGGUUUGUUAAGUCAGAU
This 275-nucleotide ribosomal RNA is filed under the name Vibrio alginolyticus. RNAcentral describes it as "partial 16S ribosomal RNA". It matches the Rfam family "Bacterial small subunit ribosomal RNA", at positions 326 to 593 of the family's 1533-position model. The record is from RNAcentral. Lineage: Bacteria; Pseudomonadati; Pseudomonadota; Gammaproteobacteria; Vibrionales; Vibrionaceae. RNAcentral also lists the same sequence under 2 other names.